Molecule: ribosomal RNA, 287 nt
Filed under: Phaeomonas parva
Lineage: Eukaryota; Pinguiophyceae; Pinguiochrysidales; Pinguiochrysidaceae
Description: partial Bacterial small subunit ribosomal RNA
Rfam family: Bacterial small subunit ribosomal RNA
Source: RNAcentral
CGGGUGCGUAACGCGUAUGCAACCUACCCUAUACAGGGGGAUAGCCCGGAGAAAUUCGGAUUAAUACCCCAUAAUAUUUUCGAUUCACCUGGAUUGAUCAUUAAAGCUUCGGCGGUAUAGGAUGGGCAUGCGUCCCAUUAGCUAGUUGGUGAGGUAACGGCUCACCAAGGCUACGAUGGGUAGGGGUUCUGAGAGGAUUAUCCCCCACACUGGUACUGAGACACGGACCAGACUCCUACGGGAGGCAGCAGUGAGGAAUAUUGGGCAAUGGACGAGAGUCUGACCCA